Molecule: non-coding RNA, 1395 nt
Filed under: Brassica napus (rape)
Lineage: Eukaryota; Viridiplantae; Streptophyta; Magnoliopsida; Brassicales; Brassicaceae
Description: Eukaryotic large subunit ribosomal RNA
Rfam family: Eukaryotic large subunit ribosomal RNA
Source: Rfam by way of RNAcentral
CGAUCCCAGGUCAUGCGGGAUUACCAGCUGAUUUUAAGCAUAUCAAUAAGCGGAGGAGAAGAAACUAACAAGGAUUCCCUUAGUAACGGCGAGCAAACCGGGAAGAGCCCAGCUUGAAAAUCGGACGUCUUUGGCGUUCGAAUUGUAGUCUGGAGAAGCGUCCUCGGCGACGGACCGGGCCCAAGUUCGCUGGAAAGGGGCGCCAGAGAGGGUGAGAGUCCCGUCGUGUCCGGACCCUGUCGCACCACGAGGCGCUGUCUACGAGUCGGGUUGUUUGGGAAUGCAGCCCCAAUCGGGCGGUAAAUUCCGUCCAAGGCUAAAUAUGGGCGAGAGACCGAUAGCGAACAAGUACCGCGAGGUAAAGAUGAAAAGGACUUUAAAAAGAGAGUCAAAGAGUGCUUGAAAUUGUCGGGAGGGAAGCGGAUGGGGGCCGGCGAUUCAUCCCGGUCGGAUGCAGAACGGAGCAAUCCGGUCUGCCGAUCGAUUCGGGCCGUGGACCGAUGCGGAUUAAGGUGGUGACCUAAGCCCGGGCUUUUGUUACGCCCGCAGAGACGUCACUGCCUUAAUAGUGGUCUGCAGCACGUGCCUCACGGCGUGCCUCGGCAUCUGCGUGCUCAGGGCGUCGGCCUGUGGGCUCCCCAUUCGACCCGUCUUGAAACACGGACCAAGGAGUCUGACAUGUGUGCGAGUCAAUGGGUGAGUAAACCCGUAAGGCGCAAUGAAUCUGAUUGGCUGGAUCCCUCACGGGUGCACAGCCGACCAAACUUGAUCUUCUGAGAAGGGUUCGAGUGUGAGCAUGCCUGUCGGGACCCGAGAGAUGGUGAACUAUGCCUGAGUGGGGCGAAGCCUGAGGAAACUCUGGUGGAGGCCCGCAGCGAUACUGACGUGCAAAUCGUUCGUCUGAAAUGGGUAUAGGGGCGAAAGACUAAUCGAACCAUCUAGUAGCUGGUUCCCUCUGAAGUUUCCCUCAGGAUAGCUGGAGCUUGGAAAUGAGUUCUAUCGGGUAAAACCAAAGAUUAGAGGCAUCGGGGACGCAAUGUCCUCGACCUAUUAUCAAACUUUAAAUAGGAAGGACGGGGUGGCUGCUUCGUUGAGCCAUCCCACAGAAUCGAGAGCUCCAAGUGGGCCAUUUUUGGUAAGAAGAACUGGCGAUGCGGGAUGAACCGGAAGCCGGGUUACGGUGCCCAACUGUGCGCUAACCUAGAACCCACAAAGGGUGUUGGUCGAUUAAGACAGCAGGACGGUGGUCAUGGAAGUCGAAAUCCGCUAAGGAGUGUGUAACAAUUCACCUGCCGAAUCAACUAGCCCCAAAAAUGGAUGGCGCUGAAGCGCGAGACCUAUACCUGGCCGUCGGGGCAAGGGCCAGGCCUCGAUGAGUAGGAGGGUGCGGCGGUC